Molecule: ribosomal RNA, 229 nt
Filed under: uncultured bacterium
Lineage: Bacteria
Description: partial 16S ribosomal RNA
Rfam family: Bacterial small subunit ribosomal RNA
Source: RNAcentral
AGGUGACCUACCUAUUGCUGGGGAACAACCCCGGGAAACCGGGGCUAAUUCCGCGUACGCUUUUCAAUCUGCGGGUUGAAAAGGAAAGAUGGCCUCUUCAUGAAAGCUAUCGGCGAUAGAUGGGCCUGCGGGUCAUUAGCUUGUUGGUGAGGUAACGGCUCACCAAGGCUACGAUGAUUAGCUGAUCUGAGAGGAUGGUCAGCCACACUGGAACUGGAACACGGUCCAG